Molecule: ribosomal RNA, 495 nt
Filed under: uncultured bacterium
Lineage: Bacteria
Description: partial 16S ribosomal RNA
Rfam family: Bacterial small subunit ribosomal RNA
Source: RNAcentral
GAUGAACGCUAGCGGGAGGCCUAACACAUGCAAGCCGAGCGGUAUUUAUUCUUCGGAAUAGAGAGAGCGGCGUACGGGUGCGGAACACGUGUGCAACCUGCCUUUAUCAGGGGGAUAGCCUUUCGAAAGGAAGAUUAAUACCCCAUAAUAUAUUGAUUGGCAUCAAUUGAUAUUGAAAACUCCGGUGGAUAAAGAUGGGCACGCGCAAGAUUAGAUAGUUGGUGAGGUAACGGCUCACCAAGUCGAUGAUCCUUAGGGGGCCUGAGAGGGUGAUCCCCCACACUGGUACUGAGACACGGACCAGACUCCUACGGGAGGCAGCAGUGAGGAAUAUUGGACAAUGGGUGAGAGCCUGAUCCAGCCAUCCCACGUGAAGGACGACGGUUCUAUGGAUUGUAAACUUCUUUUAUAUAGGGAUAAACCUACUUACGUGUAAGUAGCUGAAGGUACUAUAUGAAUAAGCACCGGCUAACUCCGUGCCAGCCGCCGCCGUAA